UACGAAGGGUGCAAGCGUUAAUCGGAAUUACUGGGCGUAAAGCGCGCGUAGGUGGUUCGUUAAGUUGGAUGUGAAAGCCCCCCGGGCCGUCAACCUGGGAACGUGCAUCCAAAACCUAGGCGAGCUAGAGUAUGGCAGAGGGUGGUGGAAUUUCCUUGUGUAGCGGUGAAAUAGCGUAGAUAUAGGAAGGAACACCAGUGGCGAAGGCGACCACCUGGGCGUAAUACUGACACUGAGGUGCGAAAGACGUGGGGAGGCAAACAGGAUUAGAUACCCGGGUAGGU
This 284-nucleotide ribosomal RNA is filed under the name uncultured bacterium. RNAcentral describes it as "partial 16S ribosomal RNA". It matches the Rfam family "Bacterial small subunit ribosomal RNA", at positions 524 to 794 of the family's 1533-position model. The record is from RNAcentral.